UACAGAGGUGCCGAGCGUUAGGCGGAAUCACUGGGCUUAAAGCGUGUGUAGGCGGGUCGUUAAGUGCCUUGUGAAAUCCCACGGCUCAACCGUGGAACUGCUGGGCAUACUGGCGAUCUUGAGUCAGCUAGGGGCAACCGGAACAAACGGUGGAGCGGUGAAAUGCGUAGAUAUCGUUUGGAACGCCAAUGGUGAAAACAGGUUGCUGGGGCUGUGCUGACGCUGAGACACGAAAGCCAGGGGAGCGAACGGG
RNAcentral lists this ribosomal RNA (253 nucleotides) under uncultured bacterium. Its description in RNAcentral is "partial 16S ribosomal RNA". It matches the Rfam family "Bacterial small subunit ribosomal RNA", at positions 524 to 776 of the family's 1533-position model. The record is from RNAcentral.